RNAcentral lists this ribosomal RNA (253 nucleotides) under uncultured bacterium. Its description in RNAcentral is "partial 16S ribosomal RNA". It matches the Rfam family "Bacterial small subunit ribosomal RNA", at positions 524 to 776 of the family's 1533-position model. The record is from RNAcentral.
UACGUAGGUGGCAAGCGUUGUUCGGAAUUACUGGGCGUAAAGCGCACGUAGGCGGACAUUUAAGUCAGGGGUGAAAUCCCAGAGCUCAACUCCAGAACUGCCUUUGAUACUGGCGAUCUCGAGUCCGGGAGAGGUGAGUGGAAUUCCUAGUGUAGAGGUGAAAUUCGUAGAUAUUAGGAAGAACACCAGUGGCGAAGGCGGCUCACUGGCUCGGUACUGACGCUGAGGCGCGAAAGCGUGGGGAGCAAACAGG